GGUAGUCCACGCCCUAAACGUUGUGAACUAGGUGUUGGUCGGAUUGACCCGAUCAGUGCCGCAGCUAACGCAUUAAGUUCACCGCCUGGGGACUACGGCCGCAAGGUUAAACUCAAAGGAAUAGGCGGGGGCCCGCACAAGCAGCGGAGCGUGUGGUUUAAUUCGAGGCGACGCGAAGAACCUUACCUGGGCUUGACAUGCACAGGAAACGCUCAUGAAAGUGAGCGCCUCUCGCAAGAGAUCUGUGCGCAGGUGGUGCAUGGCUGUCGUCAGCUCGUGCCGUGAGGUGUUGGGUUAAG
Molecule: ribosomal RNA, 299 nt
Filed under: uncultured bacterium
Lineage: Bacteria
Description: partial 16S ribosomal RNA
Rfam family: Bacterial small subunit ribosomal RNA
Source: RNAcentral